This 468-nucleotide ribosomal RNA is filed under the name uncultured bacterium. RNAcentral describes it as "partial 16S ribosomal RNA". It matches the Rfam family "Bacterial small subunit ribosomal RNA", at positions 28 to 507 of the family's 1533-position model. The record is from RNAcentral.
GACGAACGCUGGCGGCGUGCUUAACACAUGCAAGUCGAACGGAAAGGCCCUGCUUUUGUGGGGUGCUCGAGUGGCGAACGGGUGAGUAACACGUGAGUAACCUGCCCUUGACUUCGGGAUAACUUCAGGAAACUGGGGCUAAUACCGGAUAGGAGCUCCUGCUGCAUGGUGGGGGUUGGAAAGUUUCGGCGGUUGGGGAUGGACUCGCGGCUUAUCAGCUUGUUGGUGGGGUAGUGGCUUACCAAGGCUUUGACGGGUAGCCGGCCUGAGAGGGUGACCGGCCACAUUAGGACUGAGAUACGGCCCAGACUCCUACGGGAGGCAGCAGUGGGGAAUAUUGCACAAUGGGCGGAGGCCUGAUGCAGCAACGCCGCGUGCGGGAUGACGGCCUUCGGGUUGUAAACCGCUUUCGCCUGUGACGAAGCGUGAGUGACGGUAAUGGGUAAAGAAGCACCGGCUAACUACGUG